AAGCCUGUCCCAGUUCGGACUGGAGUCUGCAACCCGACUCCACGAAGUUGGAUUCGCUAGUAAUCGCGCAUCAGCCAUGGCGCGGUGAACACGUUCCCGGGCCUUGUACACACCGCCCGUCAAGCCAUGGGAGCCGGGGGCGCCUGAAGUCCGGGACCGCGAGGACCGGCCUAGGGCGAAACUGGUAACUGGGGCUAAGUCGUAACAAGGUAGC
RNAcentral lists this ribosomal RNA (214 nucleotides) under uncultured bacterium. Its description in RNAcentral is "partial 16S ribosomal RNA". It matches the Rfam family "Bacterial small subunit ribosomal RNA", at positions 1279 to 1500 of the family's 1533-position model. The record is from RNAcentral.